Molecule: ribosomal RNA, 410 nt
Filed under: uncultured microorganism
Description: bacterial SSU rRNA
Rfam family: Archaeal small subunit ribosomal RNA
Source: RNAcentral
GUGCACCAGUCGCGAAUACUUUACAAUGUGCGAAAGCACGAUAAGGGAACUCUGAGUGCCUCCUAAGGAGGCUGUUCAGGUGUCUAAAAAGCACCUGGAGUAAGGGCUGGGUAAGACCGGUGCCAGCCGCCGCGGUAACACCGGCAGCCCAGGUGGUAGCCACUUUUAUUGGGUCUAAAGCGUCCGUAGCCGGUUGAGUAAGUUCCUUGGGAAAUUUGGCUGCUCAACAGUCAAGCUUCCAGGGAAUACUGCUCGACUUGGGACUGGGAGAGGUCAGAGGUACUCCAGGGGUAGGGGUGAAAUCCAUUAAUCCCUGGGGGACCACCGGUAGCGAAGGCGUCUGACCAGACCAGGUCCGACGGUGAGGGACGAAGGCUAGGGGCGCGAACCGGAUUAGAUACCCCGGUAGU